GUGAGUCAUCGAAUCUUUGAACGCACCUUGCGCCCCUUGGCCAUUCCGAGGGGCAUGCCUGUUUGAGUAUCAUGAACACCUCAACUCUCAUGGUUUGCCAUGAUGAGAUUGGACUUUGGGGGUUUUGCUGGCCAUGCGGUUGGCUCCUCUCAAAUAAAUCAGCUUGCCAGUGUUUGGUGGCGUCACGGGUGUGAUAACUGUCUACGCUUGUGGUCGUCUGCCAGGGUGACCUUCAGUGAUGAAGGCUUGCUGGAGCUUCCAAAUGUCUCUCCUGAGCGAAGACAGCUUUUUGAUCGUUCGAUCUCAAAUUCAGGUAGGACUACCCGCUGAACUUAAGCAUAUCAAUAACGCUGGAGG
Molecule: ribosomal RNA, 357 nt
Filed under: uncultured fungus
Lineage: Eukaryota; Fungi
Description: eukaryotic LSU rRNA
Rfam family: 5.8S ribosomal RNA (bases 1-72)
Source: RNAcentral